GGCCCUGUGGCGGAACUGGCAGACGCGGCAGAUUCAAACUCUGUUUCUUUGUGGAUUCGACUUCCAUCGGGGCUA
Molecule: transfer RNA, 75 nt
Filed under: Caudoviricetes sp.
Lineage: Duplodnaviria; Heunggongvirae; Uroviricota; Caudoviricetes
Description: tRNA-Leu
Source: RNAcentral